UGGCCCAACCCCUUGUGGGAGGGAGCUGUCGAAGGUGGGACUGGCGAUUGGGACGAAGUCGUAACAAGGUAGCCGUACCGGAAGGUGCGGCUGGAUCACCUCCUUUCUAAGGAGCA
RNAcentral lists this ribosomal RNA (116 nucleotides) under Streptomyces vinaceus. Its description in RNAcentral is "partial 16S ribosomal RNA". It matches the Rfam family "Bacterial small subunit ribosomal RNA", at positions 1431 to 1533 of the family's 1533-position model. Lineage: Bacteria; Bacillati; Actinomycetota; Actinomycetes; Kitasatosporales; Streptomycetaceae. The record is from RNAcentral.